AUGUUCAUGAUCUUCAUGAAGUACCUGCAGCCCUCGGAACGCCUGGGCCAGAGCAUGAGAGCCGUCCAGAGCAUGAGAGCCCCAAGUCCCCACAGCACCGAGCUGGCUGCCCACAUGGUGGACGUGCUGGCGGCAGAGACCGACUUCCAUUCGGGACAGGUGCUCCACAUCGUGUGGGCCAUCUACAGAAGCCUGCCGUCCGUCAGAGCCGCGCUGGCCCUUCAGAGCCUGGACAGGGCCCUGCUGCUGCUGGCCAGCAAGCGCCCCAGGGAGACGGUUGCCAGCCUGCUGCAGUGCUCGCUGACCUGCACCAGGUACGGGGCCCAGCAGGGCUCCUCUCGCACACCCCCAAAGCCGUNNNNNNNNNNGAGCUCGGCUGUCCUUGCGGCUCUCCGAAGACAGCAACAGCAACAGGAUGUUCAUGGUGAGAAGCGCCAGCCCCGAGCCCUGAGCCCUGAGCCCCGGAGGAGAGCCCGGCCCUGCGACGGCAGCAAGAGGACCGGCGCUGUCCUCUUGCAAGGACCACCCGCGCAUCCUGGCCCUGGCCGCAGCAAGGCCCCUCCACGAGAUCCUCCUGCUGCCUACCAGCCGGGGGGAGGCGAAGGCCAUUUUCCCCCAGCUCUUCCUGGCCCUCCUCUUCCAAGUGUCCUUCACCACGGAGCUGAAGCUGCAGGAGGUGCAGGUCUUCUGGGAGAAGCACCGGCAGGACCUGCUCACUCCCGUCAGGUCCACGGUGCAGGCCCUGAAAGCACUGCUCCGCAGCGUGGGCCUGGGGAGCCAGGUGCUGGCCAUCGAGGCGCAGGGCGUCUGGGCCGCGCUUCUCAGCGCCGAGAGCCACCUCUGGGGCGUGCAGGUGGUGGCCAGGUGAGAGCCCCUCGUCGGCACCAUCCCAGCCCUGGAGGUGACNNNNNNNNNNGUGUGAAAGGGUUAGCCAUGUAUGCCAUGUGGAAUAUUACAGCAGCAACACUUUGUUAA
Molecule: long non-coding RNA, 975 nt
Filed under: Anas zonorhyncha (Eastern spot-billed duck)
Lineage: Eukaryota; Metazoa; Chordata; Aves; Anseriformes; Anatidae
Description: lncRNA (ENSAZOG00000016254.1)
Source: RNAcentral